RNAcentral lists this transfer RNA (61 nucleotides) under Orthopygia glaucinalis. RNAcentral's name for it is "tRNA-Arg". The record is from RNAcentral. RNAcentral also lists the same sequence under 1 other name. Lineage: Eukaryota; Metazoa; Arthropoda; Insecta; Lepidoptera; Pyralidae.
AAAUAAGAAGCAAUUUGCAUUUAAUUUCGACUUAAAAGAUAGGGAUAUUUCCCCUUAUUUA